AUACAUGCAAGUCGAACGCUUCUUUUCCCACCGGAGCUUGCUCCACCGGGAAAAGAGGAGUGGCGAACGGGUGAGUAACACGUGGGUAACCUGCCCAUCAGAAGGGGAUAACACUUGGAAACAGGUGCUAAUACCGUAUAACAAUCGAAACCGCAUGGUUUCGUUUUGAAAGGCGCUUUACGGUGCCGCUGAUGGAUGGACCCGCGGUGCAUUAGCUAGUUGGUGAGGUAACGGCUCACCAAGGCCACGAUGCAUAGCCGACCUGAGAGGGUGAUCGGCCACAUUGGGACUGAGACACGGCCCAAACUCCUACGGGAGGCAGCAGUAGGGAAUCUUCGGCAAUGGACGAAAGUCUGACCGAGCAACGCCGCGUGAGUGAAGAAGGUUUUCGGAUCGUAAAACUCUGUUGUUAGAGAAGAACAAGGGUGAGAGUAACUGUUCACCCCUUGACGGUAUCUAACCAGAAAGCCACGGCUAACUACGUGCCAGCAGCCGCGGUAAUACGUAGGUGGCAAGCGUUGUCCGGAUUUAUUGGGCGUAAAGCGAGCGCAGGCGGUUUCUUAAGUCUGAUGUGAAAGCCCCCGGCUCAACCGGGGAGGGUCAUUGGAAACUGGGAGACUUGAGUGCAGAAGAGGAGAGUGGAAUUCCAUGUGUAGCGGUGAAAUGCGUAGAUAUAUGGAGGAACACCAGUGGCGAAGGCGGCUCUCUGGUCUGUAACUGACGCUGAGGCUCGAAA
Molecule: ribosomal RNA, 736 nt
Filed under: Enterococcus mundtii
Lineage: Bacteria; Bacillati; Bacillota; Bacilli; Lactobacillales; Enterococcaceae
Description: bacterial SSU rRNA
Rfam family: Bacterial small subunit ribosomal RNA
Source: RNAcentral